This 614-nucleotide ribosomal RNA is filed under the name uncultured bacterium. RNAcentral describes it as "bacterial SSU rRNA". It matches the Rfam family "Bacterial small subunit ribosomal RNA", at positions 338 to 956 of the family's 1533-position model. The record is from RNAcentral.
CCUACGGGAGGCAGCAGUAAGGAAUAUUGGUCAAUGGGCGGAAGCCUGAACCAGCCAUGCCGCGUGCAGGAAGACGGCCCUACGGGUUGUAAACUGCUUUUAUACGGGAAUAAACCUCGAUACGUGUAUCGAGCUGAAUGUACUGUAAGAAUAAGGAUCGGCUAACUCCGUGCCAGCAGCCGCGGUAAUACGGAGGAUCCAAGCGUUAUCCGGAUUUAUUGGGUUUAAAGGGUGCGUAGGUGGCCUGUUAAGUCAGGGGUGAAAGACGGUAGCUUAACUAUCGCAGUGCCCUUGAUACUGAUGGGCUUGAAUAAACUAGAGGUAGGCGGAAUGUGACAAGUAGCGGUGAAAUGCAUAGAUAUGUCACAGAACACCAAUUGCGAAGGCAGCUUACUAUGGUUUUAUUGACACUGAGGCACGAAAGCGUGGGGAUCAAACAGGAUUAGAUACCCUGGUAGUCCACGCCCUAAACGAUGAAUACUCGAUGUUGGCGAUAUACGGUCAGCGUCUAAGCGAAAGCGUUAAGUAUUCCACCUGGGGAGUACGCCCGCAAGGGUGAAACGUCAAAGAGUAGUAGCGUGAGAGAGCGACGACGACGACGACGGAGGAGGAGG